GACGAACGCUGGCGGCGUGCUUAACACAUGCAAGUCGAACGAAGUGGCGAACGGGUGAGUAAUACGUGAGUAACCUGCCCUCCUUUUUGGGAUAAGCCUUGGAAACGGGGUAUAAUACAGAAUAAAGGGGGAUGGGCUCGCUGCCUAUCAGCUGGUUGGUGGGGUGCUGGCCUACCAAGGCGGUGACGGGUAGCCGGCCUGAGGGGGGGACCGGACAAAUUGGGACGGAGAUACGGCCCAGACUCGUACGGGAGAGAGGAGUGGGGGAUAUGGCACAAUGGGCGAGAGCCGUAUGCAGCGAUGCCGAGUGGGGGAUGGAGGCUUUGGGGUUGUAACCUUCUUUCGAUAAGGAAAGGGUAGGUGAAGAAGAAGCGUCGGCUAACUACGUGCCAGCAGCCGCGGUAAUAC
RNAcentral lists this ribosomal RNA (408 nucleotides) under uncultured bacterium. Its description in RNAcentral is "partial 16S ribosomal RNA". It matches the Rfam family "Bacterial small subunit ribosomal RNA", at positions 28 to 526 of the family's 1533-position model. The record is from RNAcentral.